This 253-nucleotide ribosomal RNA is filed under the name uncultured bacterium. Its description in RNAcentral is "partial 16S ribosomal RNA". It matches the Rfam family "Bacterial small subunit ribosomal RNA", at positions 524 to 776 of the family's 1533-position model. The record is from RNAcentral.
UACGUAGGGGGCAAGCGUUGUCCGGAUUUAUUGGGCGUAAAGCGUGCGUAGGCGGUUCUCCAAGUCCGUUGUGAAAGCCCCGGGCUCAACCUGGGAAUGGCAGUGGAAACUAGGGGACUGGAAUCUGGCAGAGGGGGGUGGAAUGCCGCGUGUAGCAGUGAAAUGCGUAGAGAUGCGGCGGAACACCGAUGGCGAAGGCAGCCCCCUGGGCUGAGAUUGACGCUCAGGCACGAAAGCGUGGGGAGCAAACAGG